RNAcentral lists this long non-coding RNA (474 nucleotides) under Numida meleagris (helmeted guineafowl). Its description in RNAcentral is "lncRNA (ENSNMEG00000020990.1)". Lineage: Eukaryota; Metazoa; Chordata; Aves; Galliformes; Numididae. The record is from RNAcentral.
AUUUCCAGUUGUUUGCCUGAUCAUAACCACACCAUAAAGCUGUCACAAAAAUGUACCUUCCUCAGUGAGGGCGCACCAGCCUGCUGCGGCAGAAGGGAAGGAUGAAGACAUUUAAAAAGGAUGAAGACAUACAAUAAAGGCAAAUGCGUAUCUUAAUUACAAACACUGAAGGAACAGAAAGACAUCUAGGAGGACUCUUCUAUCUGAAUCCCUGCACAGUGCAGAAAUUCAAAUGUUUCACUAGCUGCUGUGGUUCCAUGUCUUCAUCUGUACUCACAACGGAAGAAAGUGGUGCAGAAACCUUCUCCUUUGACAUUUCUACCAGGAAGAAACUUCCUUACGCACCUGCCCUUUGCUGCGCUCCCACUCAUGUUCAGUUUUGCUCUGAAGAAUAACUAAGGAACUGCUCCCAGGAGCACUAGCUGUACUGAGGAAAAGCCACUCUACAAGCUAAAGGUAGUUUUCAAAUCAUGU